GGCGCCUUGGGCCCACGGGGCCCGGCUGCAGGUGCGCGGGCUCGGCUCCCUCCGCCCUUUGACCGCAGACCCGGGUCGCCAUCCCUGGGGUAGUGUCGAGAGGAUCCAGGCCCCGGACGCGCUUCAGACCUGCCUGCCGCCCUGCGCCCCGGCACCGGAGGCCGAACCCUGAAAGGCACAGAACUAGAGCGUCGUGGAGGAGCCGGGGAGGGUGCGGGGAGAGUUAUUCACAGUGAAAAGACCGUGUUUCCAGCGCUGCUUUGAAAGUAAAUCCUCGGGCGAGCUGCGGCUCCGUGCGAAAUGAGAAGCCGUUUGCAGAUGUCUACACUCGCGCUCAGAAGCUCUCGCGUGUUGCUGUUCAGAGGUGCAGACACCGAGCUUUCCCCACCCCUACCAGGCCCGCGGGGUCCAAAGAGGUCAGAGAGAGGGCUGCAAAUUUUCCUGCACGGAAAACAUGUAGACCCCGACGGAAACGCCCUAAAACAACAUAACAAAUUAAAAUAUCUUCUCCACACACA
Balaenoptera ricei (Rice's whale) is the source of this 518-nucleotide long non-coding RNA. RefSeq lists it as uncharacterized. The transcript has 2 exons. The record is from RefSeq and is a predicted model, not a curated record. NCBI's taxonomy places the organism in Eukaryota, Metazoa, Chordata, Mammalia, Artiodactyla, Balaenopteridae.